This 492-nucleotide ribosomal RNA is filed under the name uncultured bacterium. RNAcentral describes it as "partial 16S ribosomal RNA". It matches the Rfam family "Bacterial small subunit ribosomal RNA", at positions 29 to 507 of the family's 1533-position model. The record is from RNAcentral.
AGUGAACGCUGGCGGUAGGCCUAACACAUGCAAGUCGAACGGCAGCACAGUAAGAGCUUGCUCUUACGGGUGGCGAGUGGCGGACGGGUGAGGAAUACAUCGGAAUCUACUUUUUCGUGGGGGAUAACGUAGGGAAACUUACGCUAAUACCGCAUACGACCUACGGGUGAAAGCAGGGGAUCUUCGGACCUUGCGCGAUUGAAUGAGCCGAUGUCGGAUUAGCUAGUUGGCGGGGUUAAGGCCCACCAAGGCGACGAUCCGUAGCUGGUCUGAGAGGAUGAUCAGCCACACUGGAGCUGAGACACGGUCCAGACUCCUACGGGAGGCAGCAGUGGGGAAUAUUGGACAAUGGGCGCAAGCCUGGUCCAGCCAUACCGCGUGGGUGAAGAAGGCCUUCGGGUUGUAAAGCCCUUUUGUUGGGAAAGAAAAGCAGCAGGUUAAUACCCCGCUGUUCUGACGGUACCCAAAGAAUAAGCACCGGCUAACUUCGUG